GUCAGCAGCCGCGGUAACACCGGCGGCCCGAGUGGUGAUCGUGAUUAUUGGGUCUAAAGGGUCCGUAGCCGGUUUGGUCAGUCCUCCGGGAAAUCUGAUAGCUCAACUAUUAGGCUUUCGGGGGAUACUGCCAGACUUGGAACCGGGGGAGGUAAGAGGUACUACAGGGGUAGGAGUGAAAUCUUGUAAUCCCUGUGGGACCACCUGUGGCGAAGGCGUCUUACCAGAACGGGUUCGACGGUGAGGGACGAAAGCUGGGGGCACGAACCGGAUUAGAUACCCGGGUAGUCCCAGCCGUAACGAUGCUCGCUAGGUGUCAGGCAUGGCGCGACCGUGUCUGGUGCCGCAGGGAAGCCGUGAAGCGAGCCACCUGGGAAGUACGGCCGCAAGGCUGAAACUUAAAGGAAUUGGCGGGGGAGCACAACAACGGGUGGAGCCUGCGGUUUAAUUGGACUCAACGCCGGACAACUCACCGGGGGCGACAGCAAUAUGUAGGCCAAGCUGAAGACUUUGCCUGAAUCGCUGAGGGGUGGUGCAUGG
This 540-nucleotide ribosomal RNA is filed under the name uncultured archaeon. Its description in RNAcentral is "bacterial SSU rRNA". It matches the Rfam family "Archaeal small subunit ribosomal RNA", at positions 457 to 997 of the family's 1478-position model. The record is from RNAcentral.